Molecule: ribosomal RNA, 752 nt
Filed under: unidentified microorganism
Description: bacterial SSU rRNA
Rfam family: Bacterial small subunit ribosomal RNA
Source: RNAcentral
ACACAUGCAAGUCGAGGGGUAUAGUUCUUCGGANACUAGAGACCGGCGCACGGGUGCGUAACGCGUAUGCAAUCUACCUUUUACAGAGGGAUAGCCCAGAGAAAUUUGGAUUAAUACCUCAUAGUAUAAUGACUUGGCAUCAAGACAUUAUUAAAGUCACAACGGUAAAAGAUGAGCAUGCGUCCCAUUAGCUAGUUGGUAAGGUAACGGCUUACCAAGGCUACGAUGGGUAGGGGUCCUGAGAGGGAGAUCCCCCACACUGGUACUGAGACACGGACCAGACUCCUACGGGAGGCAGCAGUGAGGAAUAUUGGACAAUGGGCGCAAGCCUGAUCCAGCCAUGCCGCGUGCAGGAUGACGGUCCUAUGGAUUGUAAACUGCUUUUAUACGAGAAGAAACACUACUUCGUGAAGUAGCUUGACGGUAUCGUAAGAAUAAGGAUCGGCUAACUCCGUGCCAGCAGCCGCGGUAAUACGGAGGAUCCAAGCGUUAUCCGGAAUCAUUGGGUUUAAAGGGUCCGUAGGCGGUUUAGUAAGUCAGUGGUGAAAGCCCAUCGCUCAACGGUGGAACGGCCAUUGAUACUGCUGAACUUGAAUUAUUAGGAAGUAACUAGAAUAUGUAGUGUAGCGGUGAAAUGCUUAGAGAUUACAUGGAAUACCAAUUGCGAAGGCAGGUUACUACUAAUUGAUUGACGCUGAUGGACGAAAGCGUGGGUAGCGAACAGGAUUAGAUACCCUGGUAGUCCACGCCGU